CCUACGGGUGGCUGCAGUCGAGAAUCAUUCACAAUGGGGGAAACCCUGAUGGUGCGACGCCGCGUGGGGGAAUGAAGGUCUUCGGAUUUUAAACCCCUGUCAUGUGGGAGCUAAUUAAAAAGAUAGUACCACAAGAGGAAGAGACGGCUAACCCUGCGCCAGCAGCCGCGGUAAUACAGAGGUCUCAAGCGUGGUUCGGAAUCACUGGGCGUAAAGCGUGCGUAGGCUGUAUCGUAAGUCGUGUGUGAAAGGCGCGGGCUCAACCCGCGGACGGCACAUGAUACUGCGAGACUAGAGUAAGGGAGGGGUAACAGGAAUUCUCGGUGUAGCAGUGAAAUGCGUAGAUAUCGAGAGGAACACUCGUGGCGAAGGCGGGUUCCUGGACAUUAACUGACGCUGAGGCACGAAGGCCAGGGGAGCGAAAGGGAUUAGAUACCCGUGUAGUC
This 446-nucleotide ribosomal RNA is filed under the name uncultured bacterium. Its description in RNAcentral is "partial 16S ribosomal RNA". It matches the Rfam family "Bacterial small subunit ribosomal RNA", at positions 338 to 795 of the family's 1533-position model. The record is from RNAcentral.